This 225-nucleotide non-coding RNA is filed under the name Erysipelotrichaceae bacterium. Its description in RNAcentral is "T-box sequence". It matches the Rfam family "T-box leader". Rfam says of the family: Uncharged tRNA acts as the effector for transcription antitermination of genes in the T-box leader family. T-boxes are found upstream of many aminoacyl-tRNA synthetase genes and some amino acid biosynthetic genes usually in Gram-positive bacteria. The anticodon of a specific tRNA base pairs to a specifier sequence within the T-box motif, and the NCCA acceptor tail of the tRNA base pairs to a conserved bulge in the T-box antiterminator hairpin. The record is from RNAcentral. Lineage: Bacteria; Bacillati; Bacillota; Erysipelotrichia; Erysipelotrichales; Erysipelotrichaceae.
UCAAAGACGUUGAAGAGGAAAUUGAAAGAUAGAUCUCCUUUGUAGAGAGUUGCUGGCAGGUGAAAAGCAACAAGGCCGUAUCGUUCAUCUCGCCUCGGAGUUGGUGAAGUGAAAAAAGUAAUUUCACACGGAAGCCUACCGUUAAAAGGGAAGCAGUUGUUGGACUGUAAAGAGGUCACACAUUGUGGCAAUGAGAGUGGUACCGCGGGUUAACUCGUCUCUCAA